GGAGCGGUAGUUCAGUUGGUUAGAAUACCUGCCUGUCACGCAGGGGGCCGCGGGUUCGAGUCCCGUCCGUUCCGCCA
This 77-nucleotide transfer RNA is filed under the name Salmonella enterica. RNAcentral describes it as "tRNA-Asp". It matches the Rfam family "tRNA". From Rfam's summary of the family: Transfer RNA (tRNA) molecules are approximately 80 nucleotides in length. The record is from RNAcentral. RNAcentral also lists the same sequence under 3 other names. Lineage: Bacteria; Pseudomonadati; Pseudomonadota; Gammaproteobacteria; Enterobacterales; Enterobacteriaceae.